RNAcentral lists this non-coding RNA (26 nucleotides) under Homo sapiens (human). The record is from RNAcentral. Lineage: Eukaryota; Metazoa; Chordata; Mammalia; Primates; Hominidae.
UAGAAAGUGUACAGAUGGACCAAAGG